RNAcentral lists this ribosomal RNA (468 nucleotides) under uncultured bacterium. Its description in RNAcentral is "partial 16S ribosomal RNA". It matches the Rfam family "Bacterial small subunit ribosomal RNA", at positions 28 to 507 of the family's 1533-position model. The record is from RNAcentral.
GACGAACGCUGGCGGCGUGCUUAACACAUGCAAGUCGAACGGAAAGGCCCUGCUUUUGUGGGGUGCUCGAGUGGCGAACGGGUGAGUAACACGUGAGUAACCUGCCCUUGACUUUGGGAUAACUUCAGGAAACUGGGGCUAAUACCGGAUAGGAGCUCCUGCUGCAUGGUGGGGGUUGGAAAGUUUCGGCGGUUGGGGAUGGACUCGCGGCUUAUGAGCUUGUUGGUGGGGUAGUGGCUUACCAAGGCUUUGACGGGUAGCCGGCCUGAGAGGGUGACCGGCCACAUUGGGACUGAGAUACGGCCCAGACUCCUACGGGAGGCAGCAGUGGGGAAUAUUGCACAAUGGGCGGAAGCCUGAUGCAGCAACGCCGCGUGCGGGAUGACAGCCUUCGGGUUGUAAACCGCUUUCGCCUGUGACGAAGCGUGAGUGACGGUAAUGGGUAAAGAAGCACCGGCUAACUACGUG